This 693-nucleotide ribosomal RNA is filed under the name uncultured Staphylococcus sp. Its description in RNAcentral is "bacterial SSU rRNA". It matches the Rfam family "Bacterial small subunit ribosomal RNA", at positions 61 to 736 of the family's 1533-position model. Lineage: Bacteria; Bacillati; Bacillota; Bacilli; Caryophanales; Staphylococcaceae. The record is from RNAcentral.
GUCGAGCGAACAGACGAGGAGCUUGCUCCUCUGACGUUAGCGGCGGACGGGUGAGUAACACGUGGAUAACCUACCUAUAAGACUGGGAUAACUUCGGGAAACCGGAGCUAAUACCGGAUAAUAUAUUGAACCGCAUGGUUCAAUAGUGAAAGACGGUUUUGCUGUCACUUAUAGAUGGAUCCGCGCCGCAUUAGCUAGUUGGUAAGGUAACGGCUUACCAAGGCAACGAUGCGUAGCCGACCUGAGAGGGUGAUCGGCCACACUGGAACUGAGACACGGUCCAGACUCCUACGGGAGGCAGCAGUAGGGAAUCUUCCGCAAUGGGCGAAAGCCUGACGGAGCAACGCCGCGUGAGUGAUGAAGGUCUUCGGAUCGUAAAACUCUGUUAUUAGGGAAGAACAAAUGUGUAAGUAACUAUGCACGUCUUGACGGUACCUAAUCAGAAAGCCACGGCUAACUACGUGCCAGCAGCCGCGGUAAUACGUAGGUGGCAAGCGUUAUCCGGAAUUAUUGGGCGUAAAGCGCGCGUAGGCGGUUUUUUAAGUCUGAUGUGAAAGCCCACGGCUCAACCGUGGAGGGUCAUUGGAAACUGGAAAACUUGAGUGCAGAAGAGGAAAGUGGAAUUCCAUGUGUAGCGGUGAAAUGCGCAGAGAUAUGGAGGAACACCAGUGGCGAAGGCGACUUUCUGGUCUG